This 362-nucleotide long non-coding RNA is filed under the name Phascolarctos cinereus (koala). Its description in RNAcentral is "lncRNA (ENSPCIG00000031679.1)". The record is from RNAcentral. Lineage: Eukaryota; Metazoa; Chordata; Mammalia; Diprotodontia; Phascolarctidae.
CGGCUUUCCUACAUCCCUGGAUUGUUGUGAGGGAAGAACUUCUCACAUAUUAAUCAAUCAAUCAAUGAGCAAGCAUUUAUUAAGCAAUUCAUCUGGCAAGCACUGUGCUGAAUGUGGAGGAUACAAGACACAAAUAUCAAACAGCGGUAUCCUUUGGGGAGAAGCAGUAACAACUGGGGUGAUCAGGGAGGGUCACGUGUUGAAGGUGACAUAGAUUCCUUGAAGUGUGAGCAAGACAUGGUGGCCGCCAUUGAGAAUUAGACCUUUGUGAAUGAGAGACAUUUCCACACGCCACAAAGAUGAAGCCACCAACAUAUUUUUGGGGACCUUUCUGCUGUAGCCUCAAAGUAGGACAUGGCCAC